Molecule: long non-coding RNA, 1167 nt
Filed under: Callithrix jacchus (white-tufted-ear marmoset)
Lineage: Eukaryota; Metazoa; Chordata; Mammalia; Primates; Cebidae
Description: lncRNA (ENSCJAG00000081059.1)
Source: RNAcentral
CUUUCUGCCAAGACAAUUAUCACGUGUAGCAUCGAAGCAUUAAUCAUGGAGUCAUUUAAAAGUCCAAGUGCCAAAUAAGAAUAAAAGUCUCAUGCAGGAAACUGUCACAUGUCAGAGCACUGGAAGCAAACUACUUCCACGUGUCUGUUUCCAGUACUGUAUUCCAUGGAGUGGAAAGGUGGCACGGCAUUGGCAGGCGGGACCCUUGAGAGUGUUAUAAUGACCAGGUGGCAGAGGCGGCUCAGGCUGCUGGACGUGGGGUACUCAAGGUGACUGUGCCUUGAGUGGGAGCACAUUGGACUACAUUACUCAGGACCAGGCUACAUCAGGUAAAUAUUGUUUUCUCAAAACAAAGCCAAACAUGUCACAUGUCAAGUUCUGCUCUUCCCUUCUGCUCAGUGUUUUUUUGUUUUCUUUGAGGCUGGCUCUUGCUCUGUCGCCAGGUUAGACCAGAGUGCCGUGGUGCCACAUAGCGCACUAUAACCUCAAAAUCCUGGGCCCUAGCAAUCCUCUUGCCUCAGUCUCCCAGGCUGCUAGGAAUACAGGCAUGCAGCACUAUGUCAGGCUGUUUUUCAAAACAAUUUUUGUAAAAAUUACAAGACUUUUUUUUUUUUUGCUAUGUUGGCCAGGUUGACCUCAAACUCCUGGCCUCAAGUGUUCCUCCUGCCUUGGCUUCCCAAAAUGCUGAGAUUAUAGGCAUAAGCCAUGGUGCCCAGCUAUGUCCAGAUUAAACUCACUUAAACUCCAAACAGUUCUUACUUAUCAAGCACCACGUGUACAUGAUAUUGGACUUGGCCCCACCAAUAACGCGUCAAACCAAAUAAGCAAGACCACCCUUCUAGAGAGUCUUAGUCUAAGGAGGUUUUGACAUGAACAGAUGGAAAACUGUAGAUGCUACUCCCGGAAAUUUAGAUAAUUCCUGCUGAACACAAAACAAUCUCAUCUUAAUAUCCUGAAGCAAACUUGGUGCUCAACACUGCCAAUAUAGCACGUAAUACCUAAGUUGCCACCUGUCAGAUAGUUCUUAAAUGCUCAAAGGAUCUGUAGAAACAGAUUCUUUUAUAAAGGAUUUGUUUUAGAAACCUUAUAUAAAAAAUUCAUAUAUCAUUCUGUAAAUCCUCAGUCUGGUGCCAUAUACAUCAGUGACCAUUACUAAAAUAAAAGUUA